Molecule: ribosomal RNA, 253 nt
Filed under: uncultured bacterium
Lineage: Bacteria
Description: partial 16S ribosomal RNA
Rfam family: Bacterial small subunit ribosomal RNA
Source: RNAcentral
UACAGAGGGUGCAAGCGUUAAUCGGAAUUACUGGGCGUAAGGCGAGCGUAGUCGGUUAUUUAAGUCGGAUGUGAAAUCCCCGGGCUCAACCUGGGAAUUGCAUUCGAUACUGGAUAGCUAGAGUUCGGCAGAGGGAAGCGGAAUUUCUGGUGUAGCGGUGAAAUGCGUAGAUAUCAGAAGGAACAUCAGUGGCGAAAGCGGCUUCCUGGACCAGAACUGACGAUCAGGCUCGAAAGCGUGGGGAGCAAACAGG